Molecule: long non-coding RNA, 4556 nt
Filed under: Citrus x clementina
Lineage: Eukaryota; Viridiplantae; Streptophyta; Magnoliopsida; Sapindales; Rutaceae
Description: Citrus clementina (C. clementina) long non-coding RNA (CCLE_LNC004716)
Source: RNAcentral
GGAAAAGCCCGUUGAUUAGACUUAUAAUUUUUUAUUUAAAAAAAAUAAGUGAGUAGGGAUAAAAACAUCAUUUUGUAACUAAUUGUAGGGAUGAAAAUAUCAUUUUGUAACUAUCAUAGGGGUAGAAAUGUCAUUUAAAAUAAAUUGUAGGGGCAAAAUGUUAUUUUGUAAUCAAGUUCCUGUUCUCAUUAAAAUUAAUGGCAAAGGUAAUGAAUUAUCACUGACUCUCGAAUAUUCUUGAAAAAUAUGUCACUUUUUUAAAAUUUGUCAAAACGUGUAUCUCAUAAGGAUAAUUAACCCUUAUUUUUUAUUAAGAGAGGAAUGUAAAGUCUAUUCAAAGAGACUAUAUGUGUUUAUGACAAUAUUUAAUCAAUUUUAGGUGUAUAAGCCAUAGAAAUAAUGAGCUCAAACCAAUACAGAAAACUAUAGAAAAUAAACUCUCAAGCCAUAUUACUUAAACCUAAUUUUCUAAUUUAAUUGAUGUAAAUUGUGUGCUCAUUUUUUAUAGUGUUAGAAUUGAUAGGUGCAAUUGCCGUGGAGUGUCAAUCUUUAUUAUUAGAAACCACAAUCCUAACUCUACGUUUUUUUGUUUUAAUGUGUUAUCAUAUUCAUUUUCCUUAAAUUCUUUUAAGUAUUGUUGAAUAUUACUCACGGAUUAGUAGAAAAUCAAAAUUGAUUUUUUUUAUUCAACAUUCUAAGCAAUCAAAUCGCUUGCAGUAUUGUAUUGAUACCGAGUUGGUUAAUGAUGCCCGACAACCAUAAAUUUAAGUAGUUAUCUAUUCCAAUUCUAAAAAAGUAAAUGCACCGUAAAUUUAAGUUCGGGUCUCUGUUUUGAGCUUGAAUGUUGGGGACUUCGGGUGCAAGUUUUGGUUUCAACCUCAAUCUCUCACUCUUUCAAUUCUGAAUGCUUGGCACCAUGUGUCAAUUCAUAACAAUUGUUGUAGAGUUAAGAUUAUGUAAAGGGUUAAUUUCGAAUUAUUUCUCUUUUAAAUUGACUAUAUUUAAAUCACAAUUCACAUCUCUUGUUUUUGAAAAUCUCAAUUUAACCUCCAUUUUUGUUAAGAAGAGAAAAAAAAAUCAUUACCCACUCCUAUUUUCCCUUAUUUUUUUGACUAAAUAUAAGGAUAAUCUAAGGUUUUAAAAAAUAAAGGAGGGAAUGAAAAUAGUUAAGAGGAUGGAAAUCUAAAAUUCACCCCAGUUAAAAUAACAAUGAUAAUUACCAUUAUAGUUAAAAUAACAUCACAAUUAUAACUAUAAUUGUAACUAUAAUGGUAAUUGAAAUAGUUUUUAUAAUUGUAAGUGUAAUAGGGCCGAACGUCCAUAGUCAAAAUUAAUAAAGAGAGGACAAAAAUGAAAAAAAAAAAUUACAGAUUGUUGCAGCAUAAAAAAUGAAGAAGAGGGUUUUUGUUUGGAAGAGAAUAAGGGGGAUGUAAACGUAAAUUUAUUUAAUGGUGUACGCCCAUAGCUAAUUUUUUUUUUACCCAGUCACCGACAUAUUUAUCCAAACAAUCUAAACCAUCGAUUGAAAGCAGCAUCGGACGGUUCUCGUUUGUUGUCUCCACGUUAGAAUUGUCUCCAACGUGGCUGCGAAUCCCUACAAAGAAACCGUUGAUUGACAAGGAAGUAUUGUAAAAAAGAAAACAGUUACAGAGAAAAAUUUGUAAAAAAUAAAAAAAAAACCGAAAUGCCUACAUUAUCGCUCCAAUUAAACAAUCACUUAAAAAUCAACGUGCAUAAUGAACGGGGUAGCCGCAACUGCCGCAAAAGCGCAAACCCUUCCUUAAAAUUGUACAAUGAAGAAGUUGCUUUCAAGCUCAAAACGCAAUUCACUUAGAGUGCCAGUAUCAACUCGGCGUCAGAUAAAAUCAUUUGCAGUGUUUCAAUAAAGACACACCGCGAGAAGAUCUGAAACUCUGGUAAAAUAUUCAAUCAUUUUUCAUUGUAUCAUUAUUUUUUUAAUUUUCUAUUUUAAUACAAAAACUAUACUACAAGGGCUCUAGAAAUCCUAUAGAUAAAAUUUAAAUAUACUAAAAGUAAACAUCCACAUGUAUACUUAACGAACACUAACACGUAUACAGAAUAAGAUAUUUAAAUUAGAAUCAUAAAAAUUUUGAUUAUAAUUAUUAAAAUUUUACCUAAAUAAUAUAACAAUAGCCAUCAUUGUGCCAUCAUUUUAAAUAAUUUAUUUUUCAAUAGUAUCAUUCAUAUUCUUUUCCAAAUUUAAUUAAUUUGGUAUUGAUAUAGCUAUGCUUAAUAAAUUAUUAAUUAUUUUCAUAUAACUACAAAUUCGCAUAAGGCCUCAAAUAUCUUUAAGCCGCCCCUAAGUAGUAGGGUGGGGUGUUUGGCCAUUUGUGAACAACAUUUACUGUAGAUGAAAAAAUUUGAACAAACUUCUGCUAGAGUUAGCUAUUGGUGGUUGGGGUUGCGCUAAUUCAUGAAACUCUAUUUAUUGUUUUUGAGUAAUAUGUUGGUAUUAUAACUUUUUCCCCUAUACUCGACUUUGGUUGUGUUAUUAUGUAAAAGUCAUGAGAGAGGAACCAAACGUAAAUAGAUAAUUUUUUUAGGUUAUUUUUGACUUUUUACACUUUCACGAGGUAUAUAUAUGUAAUCGGGUAUAGAUUUGGUAUUUAAGCACAAAUCAAAUAGGGCAUAUUUAAAUAUAAAAAAAACUUGCUUCUAUUGGCCUGAUUUGUGAGAAAAGAAACAUAUAUCUAUUUAGAUGCCCAUAUGAGAAAUAUGAGAAGGAAAAAAAUUUGGAUACUUGUCCAAUGAGUUACAAAAUUAUGUGCUUGGUGGCUCCAUAAAAAUAGUUGAAAUUAAAAUUUGAUAGGAAAGCCUUUAAUGGGAAUUGUGCGACAGAGGAAAGAACUUUUUUUCUUAGCAUUUUUGUUUUUUUUUUUUUGACUCAAGAGUCUAUGGAUCCUAAUUCUUAUUUCCUAUAUGAAUUGCAGACAACUUUGUUUAGUUCUCUUACUUGUAUUCUCAUUAACUAAAAGGGUAUGAAUUUGAUUGAGAAGUGUUCGUCUCUAUGAAAAAAUAAUAAUAAUAAAAGCAAAAUAAGCUGCUCAAUUAUUAUAAUAAAUGGUGUGCAAAAUUCUGUUUGUUCUAGUGCAUCUGUGCAUAGCUUGUCAAAAAAAUGCUGUUUGUUUAGCUGGGUGAAUAACCCUCACUAGGUUACUACUUUACUUUCUUUGUAAUAGGUCGCACAUUAGAAUUUCCUUGUUGAAAAUAAACUACUAGUUACCAAAUUGAAAAGUAGUACCAAUCAUCGCUGCAUACACUAUUAGCUUACCAGUUUCAUUGUUGGGUUUGCUGGUUAUAUUAUUGUUGCAAAGUAUGUUUUGAUAUUACUUAAUUUGUAGAGAAGAAAAAGGUAGCUUAGAGUUCCUUAAAUGCUAAGUUAAAGUUAAGUACGUUUAUCAAUUAGCCUUGAAUUUACAAACUUCAAAUUGUUUAAAAAAAAAAAGAGCUUACAAACUUGAAACCUCUAUUUUCAAUGAUUAAAUUCCAUGAGUGCUUUUUGUUUGUUUAUGAAAGGGUGAUGUCUCAUCACGGUUUUGUUGCUGCAAGUGCAUUAUUUUCUUUGUAGUAAAGUGAAUCUUUGAUGUAUUUAUUAAGUUUAAUGGAGCAAUCCUAGUUAAUUUUGAUGAUUUAUAUAUGCAUUUAAUUUCAUUUUUAAUAAUUCAUGUGCAGGAAUUUAUGGAUUCUUGGCUUUGCUUGGACUUAUGUUUUGCGCAAUUUCAUUUGGGAUCAAUCUACUUUUAAUAAUUCAUCUCCGCUGUUGGCACUCCGUCUCUGCUACCAUCUCUGCUCGCUGGUACCAGUCUUCAAUUUUUCGAUUUGAGUCAAUUGUGAGUGUGGUUCUUUUAGUUUAUUUUAGAUCCAAAUCAUAUUAGACAAAUAGGAUGAUUGUUUCUUGAGCUCUGCAUUUGUAUCUUAUUUUAGGACUAUUAGAGAAAGGAAUGAUUUGCUAUUGGGAGAAUUGUGUGGGAUAUACCCCAUUUCCUUCAAAAUACCUAAUAUAUACCUAAAAUUAUAACACUCUUAAAUUUCACACAUAUAUACUCUAAAAAAGUAGAGAAAGUACAAAAAUAACCACAAUUAAAUCCUCAUAAAACUAAACACAACUCCUCGAAGUCGGAUAAAUAGUCGAUAAUACUAGACUUCAAUCAAACCAUACACAAUUAGUAAUUCAGCAUAAAUUCUCGACUUUUUCAUGUUAGUCGGGUAAAUAGUAAAGAAUACUCAACUUCAAUUGAAAUAAAAAAUUAUCUGAAUUUUUUUUAAUUUUUUCAAAUAAGUCGAGUAAAGAGUUGAGAAUACCCGAAAUUUCAUUUGGAAAAGUUCGUUGUUUUGCGCAAUUUCAUUUGGGAUCAAUCUACUUUGAGGAUAAACACUUGUAGUUCAGAGUUAACAUUGUUGUAAUUAGAGCUUGUUUUCAUAAAAUAAGUGUAACUUGAAAGUACAUUGUACACUAUUGAAUUUGAUUUAUCUCCAGUAAGUGUUAAUGUAUGAUGUCUAUCAUGUAAUUUUUUUAUAAUUAUUUUAUUUAAUUU